GUGUGUGUGUGUGUGUGUGUGUGUUUUAGUAUAUACGCCCAUGUGUGUAGGUGCAUGUACAUAUGUGUGCACAGGCCUCUAUCACUUUCUACCAUGUUCUUUGACACAGGGUCAGAACCUGGAGCCUGUUAAUUAACAGGACUGGCUGGCUGCAAAGCCCCAGAGAUCCUCCUGUCUCCACCUCCCCAGAGCUGGGUUGCAGACAUACACAAGCACUCUGCUCACGGAGUCACCUCCAGGCCUUGCAACUUUGGAGAAGUUCCUUGCUUUGAGGCUGCGAUGUUCUUUUCUGUAACAACAGCCCUUGCAGAUUCCAGUCUUAGUGGUAAGAACCCUAUUACAAUUACUAGAGAAGACUAGAUUCUUCUCUCUGAACAGUCUUAGAGAACUCGAAACGUGUCCUGGGACAGUGGAGUGAAUAGAUGUGUCAGGCCAAACAAUUCUGUGGUCUUUUCUCUACACAGACAAAGUCAGUAACAGGGGAACUGCUGGAAGUUUGUCCCACACACUUUCAAGGCUCCUACCAUUCACUAAUUUCUCAUAGUCAAAGGCUUUAGGCUUUCAGAGGAAGCUGACCUUUUAAAAAUACUAAUAAUAAUUAUUAUUACUAUUAUUAUUAUUAUUAUUAUUAUUAUUAAGGCUGCCUGUGAGCUAUAUUCCAUUGAGGGUACAACUUGGCACAGGGUCUGUACUUUGCCAGAACACUGAAAAGCCCUCCUGAGUGGGUGUGCUCACAGGAUACUGGGUCGGAUGUAGCGAGGGAGAAGACAGGCCCUUCCUUGAUGCGGGAGGCAUGGCAUCACUGAAAGUUGGGAAGGCGGGGCCCUUCAGGCCAAGGAUGGGUGGGUUUGCCUCCUUUCACAGGAAAUGGGUGAAGCCCCGUUAGGAAUUAUUCCUCAGACGUUUUGUACUGUAGAGGAAAUGUCUUCUGAUAGCACAGAGCUAUUGGUUUCCUGUUGUGAACUAGGAAUUUCUGGCUUGCCCAAGAAUGGACAGGAAGGGAAAGGGUAGUUGUCUCUUGAAAGUCCUUGUUUAAUGAAAAUGCUAGUUCAAGGGUUUCCAGAAUACUCCAACUGGCCAGAAGGGAGAUUGGGGGUUGGGGGAAGGUCAUGGUAGCAAGGGCGGUCUUAUGGACAGGCAGGUUUGUGUGACACAUUAGUUUUAAGAAUACUUUCUGAGCAAUUCUAUGUGGUGGGCAUUGUACUAUGAUAGCCAGGUAGACUAGAUGGCUUGGGCAGUCUUCUCCCUUGAAAUAACAAGUAAGUGGUGGACACUGAUAAAAUAACAAAAAAAUAGGUUUUGAGUAAUAUAAGGCUAAGAUGGAGCUAUGGUUAAAGCACUGAGGAACAUAUAAUGUGCUUGGAUGAAUCUUUCCUGUGCACAUACAGCUGGAGAGGCCAGGAGAGGAUAUCAACCAUCCUGCUCUAUCACUCUUCCAACUUAGUUCCUUGAGUCAGAGUCUCUCACUGAACCUAGAGCUUGCCUUUUCUGCUAGGCUGGUUAGCCAACCAGCCCCAGAGAUCUCCUAUCUCAGAUGCGCCCCUCAUUCAGCCCCACACUUCCCCCUGCCCUGGGAUUACGGGCAUGCACAGUCACACCUGACUUUUAUGUGGGUGCUGAGGAUCUAAAUUCAGGGUCAUCUAUUCAGCGUUCUUACCCACUGAGCCAUCUCCCUAGAACCUUUGGAGUAGUCUUUACAUGUUUUGGAUUCUCCUCGCCGCCCUCAUCCCCCACAGUUUAUAAUGAUGUUGGGAAUCAAAAACAGAGAUUGAGGUUUCCUAGAGUGUGAUAUUGAGUACCGAGCACAGUCUAGGUUCUGAAUGCUUUCCACCCAUGUCCUCACCUAGUGUGGUAAGGACACUGGCCCUAAGAAAUAAGUCUCUGGAAUUCAGAAGGUAGCAGUUUACUAGAGAUCACAAUAUGAAAGACACAGAACCAAAUGUGAGCAUCCCUCUUUCCUUUCCUGUCCUCCAUCUCAGACUCCCUUCUCCAGUGUAUUUUGGGAUGAGCAGGUUUGCUACCUACCUUUAGUCGGGUGGGGGCUGACCCAUUCUCUCCUCAAGGUAUGCCAACAGGCAUUUUUCAUUGAUAUUCACAUGAGUCCCAACUUACUGAAGAGUUUGAUUAAUUUUGUAAUUCAGGGGAAUUACAAAAACCAAAGAAAUUCCCAAAAACCCAAAUGAGGGAUAGUCACCAUCCAAUUUCUUUUUCUCCAAAGAAGUUUAAAAAAAUAUCACCAGUCAAUGGUUUGCCAGCAUACCCUAGGAACUGGGUUGCAUCCCCACGCUGAGUCUGCCUUUCUCUUCUUCCAUGUGCCUAGCCCUGAUUUGCUAUGCAGAAGAAUAACUGACUCCUCCUGUGAUCAGUUGCCCCUCUCCUCCCAGGAGAGAAUCACAAGAACCUACAGAGAUGGGCCUUCACUGUGUGCUAACACUGCCUAGAGCACAGCUCUUUCCUUCUUUGUGCUUAUAGGUCUGUGCACACAUCAGACUGUUGAAUGAAAGCAACCAUAUCAUUUUUUUGUUAGUUUGUUUGUUUUUUGAGACAGGGUUUCUCUGUGUAGUUUUGGUGCCAGUCCUGGAUCUCGCUCUGUAGACCAGGCUGGCCUCAAACUCACAGAGAUCCACCUGACUGCCUCCCAAGGCUGGGAUUAAAGGUAUGUGCCACUGCCGCCCGGCAUCACAACCCUAUCUUUUUAUAAAAUAUUGACAACUAACCUUUUUUCUUAGCACUUGAUGGGUGUUCAUGAACAGACAUGUACUCUUCCCUGUGUUUGAAAGAUUUUUGAACAGUGUUUGCCAAGAACCCAAUUCCAUCCUGGGAACUAGGGAUCCAGACAGAUGCUAAUAGAAUGUGACUGUCUUAGGGAGGUGGCUCUCAGUCCACCAGGGACACUGUUUAUAAUACAGACUGUGAGUUGGCCCUCCCCACACAUAACUCCAAUUCUCCUCUCCUGGGUCUUUCUCUGUGAUAGCGACUCGGGAGAGAAAUGCUUGUUUCUUUUAGUCUCCCGUCUAGCUAGAAAUGGCUAUGAAACACAGAACACAGUUUAUAUGAUACAAUUUUUGGAAUAAACACAAGUCUGGGGAGAGGUGUUCUGGAAAAGCUUUCUAUGACAUGAAAGGAGGAACUAACGCACAUGUAGCCUUCUGCUUCCUGUCUGGAAUUCAGCCAUGUGGUGGCCAUCUUGUGAUGAAGGGGUGGCCAGCCAACGACCGUGGGUGAGGGGUAAUACAUACCACCCCUGUGCUCUUGAUGACAGCGCUGAGUGUAUUCCCCACCUAUGAACUGCCUAAUUUAUGUAUUCUUUCUUUUUUUCCACGCUGUGAAUGAAACCAGGGUCUUAAGUAAGUAGCUCAAGCUCUCUACCACUGAGCUGCAUCCACGGCUCUUGGUUUUUGGAGGCACAGUGUUGUUACAUACCCUGGAACUCAUGACUCCUUUUCCUUCCAAUCUCUGGAAUAGCAGAUGUGUCUUUUGAGCAUGGGAGAAGCCCUGGAAAGCAGGAAGAUAUGGAGGGACUGAGGUCUGGAAAGACUAGUCUGCCAGGAGACCACAGGACGGAUGAGGAGGAAAACGGUGAAAGUAGAGCAUGCUAAGAGUGCCGGCCUCUCAACUGAGAAAUAAGGAGACAGGGGAAGAGCCUGCGGAACUCAAAUAAAGGAAGAGAUUCGAGACUGUUCUUCAAUCCAUGAGGACAGUCUUUCCAUCCUUCUGUGACCACGCUCUGAAAAUUCUGUUGUGUAUCCUGGUCAAGAGACAUGCUUGACACAUCUUGGUUUUGAGAUGGUUCUUACCUAGCCGAUGGAGGAUGACCAUAUGGUGGCUCCCAUGGCUGUGUAUGGAUAGAUUUGUUCCUAUCCACUGGCUAGUCUUUUUUUAAAAACCCUGCCCAGAAGCUCUUCUACUAGUCAAAGAGUCCCAUAACAUCACAUUUACUAUGGUCUAGGUAUGGUUUUAGUGUGUUCUUCAAAGAUUCUUGGGCUGGAAACUUGAUUCCCACUGUAGUGGGGUUAGGAGCUCAUGGGACCUUUGAGAGGUAGAACCUCAUGGGAGAUCAUGACUGGCCCUUCCCUGCUUUCAGACUUCCUAACUCAUCAAGAUCACACACAUUUUUCACCAGUUUGAUACAUCUACCAUGAGGUCCCCACCCAAGCCCAGCUGAUGUCAGAAGCACACACCUGAAUCUUCAGAGCUAUAAGCAAAAUAAAUCUCAUUUCUUUAUUAAA
This is a long non-coding RNA of Peromyscus californicus insignis, 4229 nucleotides long. RefSeq lists it as uncharacterized. The record is from RefSeq and is a predicted model, not a curated record. NCBI's taxonomy places the organism in Eukaryota, Metazoa, Chordata, Mammalia, Rodentia, Cricetidae. The transcript is spliced from 2 exons.